ACGAACGCUGGCGGCGUGCUUAACACAUGCAAGUCGAACGAUGAAGCCCAGCUUGCUGGGUGGAUUAGUGGCGAACGGGUGAGUAACACGUGAGUAACCUGCCCUGGACUCUGGGAUAACCCCGAGAAAUCGGAGCUAAUACCGGAUAGGACCUCGAAUCGCAUGGUUUGGGGUGGAAAGUUUUUCGGUCUGGGAUGGACUCGCGGCCUAUCAGCUUGUUGGUGAGGUAAUGGCUCACCAAGGCGUCGACGGGUAGCCGGCCUGAGAGGGUGACCGGCCACACUGGGACUGAGACACGGCCCAGACUCCUACGGGAGGCAGCAGUGGGGAAUAUUGCACAAUGGGCGCAAGCCUGAUGCAGCAACGCCGCGUGAGGGAUGACGGCCUUCGGGUUGUAAACCUCUUUUAGUAGGGAAGAAGGGCUUCGGCUUGACGGUACCUGCAGAAAAAGGACCGGCUAACUACGUGCCAGCAGCCGCGGUAAUACGUAGGGUCCGAGCGUUGUCCGGAAUUAUUGGGCGUAAAGAGCUCGUAGGCGGUUUGUCGCGUCUGCUGUGAAAUCCCGAGGCUCAACCUCGGGCCUGCAGUGGGUACGGGCAGACUUGAGUGCGGUAGGGGAGAAUGGAAUUCCUGGUGUAGCGGUGGAAUGCGCAGAUAUCAGGAGGAACACCGAUGGCGAAGGCAGUUCUCUGGGCCGUAACUGACGCUGAGGAGCGAAAGCGUGGGGAGCGAACAGGAUUAGAUACCCUGGUAGUCCACGCCGUAAACGUUGGACGCUAGAUGUGGGGACCUUUCCACGGUUUCCGUGUCGUAGCUAACGCAUUAAGCGCCCCGCCUGGGGAGUACGGC
RNAcentral lists this ribosomal RNA (849 nucleotides) under uncultured bacterium. RNAcentral's name for it is "bacterial SSU rRNA". It matches the Rfam family "Bacterial small subunit ribosomal RNA", at positions 29 to 886 of the family's 1533-position model. The record is from RNAcentral.